RNAcentral lists this long non-coding RNA (328 nucleotides) under Carica papaya (papaya). RNAcentral describes it as "long non-coding RNA (CPAP_LNC002408)". The record is from RNAcentral. Lineage: Eukaryota; Viridiplantae; Streptophyta; Magnoliopsida; Brassicales; Caricaceae.
AAGUAGAGGGCUAUGUGCGAAAGAGCAGAUGGGUUGGGUACGCGAACUAGAUGAGUUGAGAACAUGAACCAUAGAGCUGCCCGCCAAACGCUGCUCGAACCGCUGAAGUCUGGUGGAGCCAAGUAGGUUGGGUAGGGCAGAGAUAAUCACCAGAGUAGGGCGGCUAGCAGCCUGGUGAGACUCCCUCUAUUUUGGGUGGCUAAUGAGAAGAUUUUGAUAGAAACCCAAAAAUAUACCCUAAAAUAUUCUUAAUCUGCUCUGAUACCAUGUAGAAAUUUAGGAAAAAAUAUUUACUUUAUUUCCAUUAUGUUUUUUUGUUACAAAUGAC